AUAAUGGGUCAGCGACUUAUAUUCUGUAGCAAGGUUAACCGAAUAGGGGAGCCGAAGGGAAACCGAGUCUUAACUGGGCGUUAAGUUGCAGGGUAUAGACCCGAAACCCGGUGAUCUAGCCAUGGGCAGGUUGAAGGUUGGGUAACACUAACUGGAGGACCGAACCGACUAAUGUUGAAAAAUUAGCGGAUGACUUGUGGCUGGGGGUGAAAGGCCAAUCAAACCGGGAGAUAGCUGGUUCUCCCCGAAAGCUAUUUAGGUAGCGCCUCGUGAAUUCAUCUCCGGGGGUAGAGCACUGUUUCGGCAAGGGGGUCAUCCCGACUUACCAACCCGAUGCAAACUGCGAAUACCGGAGAAUGUUAUCACGGGAGACACACGGCGGGUGCUAACGUCCGUCGUGAAGAGGGAAACAACCCAGACCGCCAGCUAAGGUCCCAAAGUCAUGGUUAAGUGGGAAACGAUGUGGGAAGGCCCAGACAGCCAGGAUGUUGGCUUAGAAGCAGCCAUCAUUUAAAGAAAGCGUAAUAGCUCACUGGUCGAGUCGGCCUGCGCGGAAGAUGUAACGGGGCUAAACCAUGCACCGAAGCUGCGGCAGCGACGCUGAUGCGUUGUUGGGUAGGGGAGCGUUCUGUAAGCCUGCGAAGGUGUGCUGUGAGGCAUGCUGGAGGUAUCAGA
RNAcentral lists this ribosomal RNA (675 nucleotides) under Escherichia coli. Its description in RNAcentral is "partial 23S ribosomal RNA". It matches the Rfam family "Bacterial large subunit ribosomal RNA", at positions 612 to 1286 of the family's 2925-position model. The record is from RNAcentral. Lineage: Bacteria; Pseudomonadati; Pseudomonadota; Gammaproteobacteria; Enterobacterales; Enterobacteriaceae.